Long non-coding RNA from Cyclopterus lumpus (lumpfish), 789 nucleotides. RefSeq lists it as uncharacterized. Lineage: Eukaryota; Metazoa; Chordata; Actinopteri; Perciformes; Cyclopteridae. The record is from RefSeq and is a predicted model, not a curated record. The transcript has 3 exons.
UGUGUGUGUGUGUGUGUGUGUGUGUGUCAGGUCGAAGGUGUGUGUUCACUCCUCUUAAAAAACAGUCUACUCCACAAAAAGAGAAGAUUCAAGUCGACAGAGAGGCGACUCUGAAAGCAAAAGGAUCGGCUCCAUCUAUCCUCAAGCUUCUUUACUCCACUUGCCUAUUUGUCCAAAAAAAGAACCGCAAAAAAAAUAAAAUGGGAGGUCAGAGCGACGACUGGGAUGAAGAUCACGGGGACACGAUGCAGAGUCAGCCUCGGAAACACGAGGAGACGGAGGACAAAAGCUCGGGGAGCAAAUGUCCCAAGUGCUGCUUGAAGACACGGGACUGCCUGAUGAGCGCAGAAUGCGGCAGGGCACUCCAGAUCUCCAGCGUCGUCGCCAUGUGUGGAAUGUGCAUUCGCUUUUUUGUGUAACCUAACCUUGGACAUCCGGACCCAUUUUUCCAGGCUGCAUUGAUUCUCAGCGUCCCCCGGCACCCUUAAUGUGAUUUACGUCAUGUGGUUUUCUUUUCCGACUGAGAUGAAUAUAUUCACUUUCAGUCCGUUUCAUCAGCUACAACCCUCUUCGUUUCUCUGUUCACAAGUUAUUUAUUGAACAAACAAUUCACCGUCUGUAUAUAAAACAAACUUAAGGAGACAAUCCUUAUGAAUGAAUGAACGAAAGUGAAAGUGAAUUUGAUGUUUUUGUGAGAGGUUUAUUCGGACGCCUGUCUGAUUGAUCAAACAUUUAUUUAUAAUCAUGGUUGAGCAGUUUUCAGUAAUGAGAUGAAAUAACUGUAAUAUU